RNAcentral lists this ribosomal RNA (483 nucleotides) under uncultured bacterium. RNAcentral's name for it is "partial 16S ribosomal RNA". It matches the Rfam family "Bacterial small subunit ribosomal RNA", at positions 28 to 507 of the family's 1533-position model. The record is from RNAcentral.
GACGAACGCUGGCGGCGUGCUUAACACAUGCAAGUCGAACGCUGAAGCUCAGCUUUUGUUGGGUGGAUGAGUGGCGAACGGGUGAGUAACACGUGAGUAACCUGCCUCCUUCUUUGGGAUAACGCCCGGAAACGGGUGCUAAUACUGGAUAUUCACUGGUCUUCGCAUGGGGGUUGGUGGAAAGGGUUUUUCUGGUGGGGGAUGGGCUCGCGGCCUAUCAGCUGGUUGGUGGGGUGAUGGCCUACCAAGGCUUUGACGGGUAGCCGGCCUGAGAGGGCGACCGGUGACAGUGGGACGGAGAUACGGCCCAGGGGACGCCGCGGGGGAGAAUUGGGGAAAAUUGGACAAUGGGUGAAAGACUGAUGCAGCGUCGGCGAGUGAGGGAUGGGGGUCGUAGGGUUGUGAACGUCUGACGGUCAUGGUCAAGCCGAAACAAUGGUUGUGGUGACGGUAGUGGGUAAAGAAGCGCCGGCUAACUACGUG